Molecule: ribosomal RNA, 484 nt
Filed under: uncultured bacterium
Lineage: Bacteria
Description: partial 16S ribosomal RNA
Rfam family: Bacterial small subunit ribosomal RNA
Source: RNAcentral
AUUGAACGCUGGCGGCAUGCUUUACACAUGCAAGUCGAACGGCAGCGCGGGCUUCGGCCUGGCGGCGAGUGGCGAACGGGUGAGUAAUACAUCGGAACGUGCCCAGUAGUGGGGGAUAGCUCGGCGAAAGCCGGAUUAAUAUCGCAUACGACCUGAGGGUGAAAGCGGGGGAUCUUCGGACCUCGCGCUAUUGGAGCGGCCGAUGGCAGAUUAGCUAGUUGGUGGGGUAAAGGCCUACCAAGGCGACGAUCUGUAGCUGGUCUGAGAGGACGACCAGCCACACUGGGACUGAGACACGGCCCAGACUCCUACGGGAGGCAGCAGUGGGGAAUUUUGGACAAUGGGCGAAAGCCUGAUCCAGCAAUGCCGCGUGUGUGAUGAAGGCCUUCGGGUUGUAAGGCACUUUUGGCGGGAACGAAAAGGACUGUGCCAAUACCACGGUUCGAUGACGGUACCCGCAGAAUAAGCACCGGCUAACUACGUG